UACGUAGGGGGCAAGCGUUGUCCGGAAUCAUGGGGCGUAAAGAGCGGGUAGGCGGUCCGGUAAGUCGGCUGUGAAAGUCCAGGGCUCAACCCUGGGAUGCCGGUCGAUACUGCCGGACUAGAGUUCGGAAGAGGCGAGUGGAAUUCCCGGUGUAGCGGUGAAAUGCGCAGAUAUCGGGAGGAACACCUAUGGCGAAGGCAGCUCGCUGGGACGUUACUGACGCUGAGACGCGAAAGCGUGGGGAGCAAACAGG
Molecule: ribosomal RNA, 253 nt
Filed under: uncultured bacterium
Lineage: Bacteria
Description: partial 16S ribosomal RNA
Rfam family: Bacterial small subunit ribosomal RNA
Source: RNAcentral